UAUAUAUAUAUAUAUAUAUAUAUAUAUAUAUAUAUAUAUAUAUAUAUAUAUAUAUAAUAAUAAUAAUGUCAUGUUGUAAUAAAGUUAUCUGGCUGCAGCAUCUUUAAGUCAAGCGGCACACUCAUUUUGACUGUCAUUUUAACAUGUGAACCAAAAUUACUGAAGAUGAAUUAAGUAUUUAUCCAACUUACUGAACAAACGUCAGUACUAAACUGCAUUUAAUCAUUAAUAUUUCGUGCAAGAUAUCAAAUUCAACAACUUAUACUUACUCUUGGUGGAACGCUGACGUUAGCUCCUGCGAGUAACCCCAGAGUGCAGUCUGGACGAUGGGGCGGGGCGACACUUCGAGGCGGAGCGACACGUGUCGCCCCGCCCAUAUUUGUUUUCCCCGCCUUUGACAUUUUCCUCCGAGCCAGCAGGGGGCAGUUUGCGUUGAAACAAACAGAACGGUGGCAACUACAGCAGCAGAGUAAUAACGCUAUUCCGUUGAUUGCUUGAGGUGAGUAAAAGUGGUUGUGUAAAUAUCUUAUAAUAUGAAAUGCGAUGUUCGAUCAUUUAUUUAUCCAUGGUACGUUCAAUUUGAAUAAUUAUUGUUAAUAAUUGUUAUAAAUUGCUCAUUUUAUUGUUCUUUGUGGAUUGUAACAGUACACUCUGUACAUGGCUUUAGUUCAUAGGUUCGAUUUUACAGAGGUAUGGCAUCACAUUUGUCAAGUUAUUUGAACAGACAUGCAUGAUUUUUGUGUGUAUAUUAUUAUUAUUAUUAUUUUUCAGGAUGACAUGAUCAGGAGGUGGUGGUGUUCUGUUCUCCUGGACAGCUUUACUCCGCAAAUAGCUCAACCACUGAGGGGAGGAACUUCACCAUUCACCAUGUCUUCAGGCAGAGUCCAGCAAAGCAGCUUCCACUGGAAAUCCUCAGGGAAGUUAUUUUGUCAGCGGGUGACUCUGCAUAUUUGACACUUUCUCUGGUUUGCAGAUGGUUUAGGGUUGUGCUCCGAAGUUUUUCGGAAAGCGGCACCGUUUGCCUGGCUAGAGAGUAAGAUUUCCCCGUUUAAUGCUCAUUCUCCAAUUGAAUUUUGUAGUAGAAGGCUGUUAAACUUUUUUUGUAUUAUUAUUAUCUUUCAUGUAUUUUGUCUUUACACUAUAAGUUGUGGCCAACUGGAAGAAUUGUCCUCCUGUCUCCUGACCGGAACGAGUUCAGAUGGAUGUACAGCAUCAGGGAACGCUUGCAGUGCAGAGCCUUUUUCAAGUUUAACCCACCAGGGUACAGAGAAGAGGCCGGCGUGGUGAUCUUCUGGGCUUUUGUUUACACAGGAUUUUGUUCCAAGGACUGUUUGUUUGUUUUUUUUGUUUUUUUUUUGCGGCAUGAAACACAUUUGUGUGUUAAGUUCAUUGAAGGGAAAUAGAGAAUGGGCUGAGAUCAACUGGUUUUGAUUAUUAAUUGAUGUAAUUUAAAGUUAAACUUUGCACUGUAUAAUGUUUUAAUAAAAAAGCUAUGGAAAACACGUGCAUGACAACAGGUUUCAGUCAUUUACAUCAGUCUAUCAUUCUUUAAGGUUUCUCAUAUUUGAUGAUAACAUGAUUUGCUAUGCAUUGCUCAUAAUGGAUUCUUAGUUUAGUUGUGACAGGAUUGUGAGGAUUAAUGAGGUUUUCAGUAGUGCAGUUCAGAAAACAAAUAACAGAAAGUAACAAGUGUUUUUGGGCAAGUUUUUUAGAACCUGUAUAGUUCCUUCCUUGCAAAAAGUAACCAUGGAUUUAUUGUAGUAAAAAUAUUUGUUGGCACAUUAAUUACUGUGAGCUGUAAUUAUAAAAACACCAUAGUUUUACUAUAGUUACUGUAGCAGAACCAUGGUAAAUUUUCGCAGAGGCCAAGGGAAUGUUCAGAAUAUUAUUGGUGACGUUCAGAGACUGGUGACAAUUUGUUACACACACGACACACACACACACACACACACACACACAUAUAUAUAUAUAUAUAUAUAUAUAUAUAUAUAUAUAUAUAUAUACACACACACACACACACACACACGUAUGUAUGUAUAUAUUAUUUGAAUAUAUAAAUCAAGGUACUCCAUGACUAUCUACAUAACCAUACUUCGCAUAAUAUUGCCGUGUCAUUUUCAAACCAGCGAGUAAUGCCGAGGUAGCGUCUACACUACAGCCAUUGAGGGAGUAGACCAUUUAUUUUUAUUCUGUUCGUCGUAAUCCAAAACUCUUUGUAUUUAUACGGGAUGUUGUGGAAAUGCAACAAUAAAUGCAAAAACACAACAUGUAUAUUCACUUUUUAAUUUAUAUUAAAAGUUUAUUCAUCUUAGUGUCUACUUCCGCAUUCCAAUCGUGCUAAUAGCGUCAUAAUUCACUAUACCAAUAAGCUGUAAAAUCGUCACUCAUCUGUACACCAAUAAGCUCAUCUUAAUCAUAAACCAAUAACCGCUGAGGUGGGCGGGGCGACACGUGUCGCUCCGCCCCAACGUGUCGCCCCGCCCCAUCGUCCAGACUGCACUCUGGGAUACUUGGCUCCUGCUGCCUUGACGUUCGCCAUCUUUUCAUACAUUUCGCGCCAGUGUAACGGACUGUGGCCCAAUUGUGAUUGGCUGAAAUU
This 2599-nucleotide long non-coding RNA is filed under the name Carassius auratus (goldfish). Its description in RNAcentral is "lncRNA (ENSCARG00000008699.1)". Lineage: Eukaryota; Metazoa; Chordata; Actinopteri; Cypriniformes; Cyprinidae. The record is from RNAcentral.